Molecule: ribosomal RNA, 504 nt
Filed under: Lactococcus lactis
Lineage: Bacteria; Bacillati; Bacillota; Bacilli; Lactobacillales; Streptococcaceae
Description: bacterial SSU rRNA
Rfam family: Bacterial small subunit ribosomal RNA
Source: RNAcentral
GAGGGGGCGGCGUGCUAUACAUGCAGUUGAGCGCUGAAGGUUGGUACUUGUACCGACUGGAUGAGCAGCGAACGGGUGAGUAACGCGUGGGGAAUCUGCCUUUGAGCGGGGGACAACAUUUGGAAACGAAUGCUAAUACCGCAUAAAAACUUUAAACACAAGUUUUAAGUUUGAAAGAUGCAAUUGCAUCACUCAAAGAUGAUCCCGCGUUGUAUUAGCUAGUUGGUGAGGUAAAGGCUCACCAAGGCGAUGAUACAUAGCCGACCUGAGAGGGUGAUCGGCCACAUUGGGACUGAGACACGGCCCAAACUCCUACGGGAGGCAGCAGUAGGGAAUCUUCGGCAAUGGACGAAAGUCUGACCGAGCAACGCCGCGAGAGUGAAGAAGGUUUUCGGAUCGUAAAACUCUGUUGGUACAGAACAACGUUGGUGAGAGUGGAAAGCUCAUCAAGUGACGGUAACUACCCAGAAAGGGACGGCUAACUACUGCCCAAAACCCUAAAAA